GCUGGAAGGUGCUCCACCUGGAGACUGUCCUGCUGGGAGACUUCAAUGCUCAUGUGGGUAACAACAGCGAGACCUGGAGGGGCGUGAUUGGGAGGAAUGGCCUCCCUGAUCUGAACCUGAGCGGUGUUUUGUUAUUGGACUUCUGUGCAAAUCACAGUUUGGCCAUAACAAACACCCUGUUCGAACAUAAGAGUGUCCAUAAGUGCACGUGGCACCAGGACACUCUAGGCCGCAGGUCGAUGAUCGAUUUUGUAAUCGUAUCACCAGACCUGCGACCAUAUGUUCUGGACACUCGGGUAAAGAGAGGGGCUGAGCUGUCAACUGAUCACCACCUGGUGGUGAGUUGGAUCAGGUGGCGGGGGAGGACGCUGGACAGACCCGGUGCACCUAAACGCGUAGUGAGGGUGUGCUGGGAACGUCUAGCAGAUGCCCCAGUCCGCGAGAUCUUCAACGCACACCUCCGGCAGAGCUUCAACAGCAUUCCGAGGGAGACUGGGGACAUUGAGUCCGAAUGGACCAUGUUCAGCGUCUCCAUUGCCGAAGCUGCUGCAUUGAGCUGCGGCCGCAAGGUGGUUGGUGCCUGGACACCAGAGGUGAAGGGAGCCACCAGGCUGAAGAAGGAGUCCUAUCGGGCUUGGUUAGCCUGUGGGACUGUGGGAUCAGUUCUUUCGGUCACUACCGAAAGAACGAGAUCGCAGAUACAAGCGGCAGAAAUGAGUUUCCUCCGAAGGGUGGCUGGCCUCUCCCUUAGAGAUAGGGUGAGAAGUUCGGCCAUCCGGGAGAAGCUCAGAGUAGAGCUGCUGCUCCACAUCAAAAGGAGCCAGCUGAGGUGGUUCGGGCAUCUGACAAGGAUGCUUCCUGGGCGCCUCCUGGGUGAGGUGUUCCGGGCAUGUCCCACCGGGAGGAGGCCCCGGGGCAGACCCAGGACAUGCUGGAGAGAUUAUAUCUCUCGGCUGGCCUGGGAAUGCCUUGGUGUUCCCCCGGAUAAGCUGGAGAAGGUGGCUGGGGAGAGGGAGGUCUGGGCCUCUCUGCUUAGGCUGCUCCCCCCGCGACCCGGCCUCGGAUAAAGCGGAUGAAGAUGGAUGGAUGGAUGGAU
Molecule: long non-coding RNA, 1096 nt
Organism: Astatotilapia calliptera (eastern happy)
Lineage: Eukaryota; Metazoa; Chordata; Actinopteri; Cichliformes; Cichlidae
Source: Ensembl